UACGUAGGUGGCGAGCGUUGUCCGGAGUUAUUGGGCGUAAAGCGCGCGCAGGCGGCCUCUUAAGUCUGCUGUGAAAGUCCGCGGCUCAACCGGCGAGGGGCAUUGGAAACUGGGAGGCUUGAGUAUAGGAGAGAAGAGUGGAAUUCCACGUGUAGCGGUGAAAUGCGUAGAGAUGUGGAGGAACACCAGUGGCGAAGGCGACUCUUUGGCCUAUAACUGACGCUGAGGCGCGGAAGCGUGGGGAGCAAGCAGG
This 253-nucleotide unclassified non-coding RNA is filed under the name uncultured Caryophanales bacterium. RNAcentral describes it as "uncultured Bacillales bacterium contains 16S-23S intergenic spacer region". It matches the Rfam family "Bacterial small subunit ribosomal RNA", at positions 524 to 776 of the family's 1533-position model. The record is from RNAcentral. Lineage: Bacteria; Bacillati; Bacillota; Bacilli; Caryophanales.